GACGAACGCUGGCGGCGUGCUUAACACAUGCAAGUCGAACGGUAAGGCCCUUCGGGGUACACGAGUGGCGAACGGGUGAGUAACACGUGGUGGUCUGCCCUGGACUUCGGGGUAAGCCCGGGGAACUGGGUCUAAUACCGGGUAGGACCCCGGGAUGCAUGGCCCGGGGGGGGAAGCCUUUGCGGGGGGGGAUGGGCCCGCGGCCUAUCAGGUUGUUGGGGGGGUGGUGGCCUACCAAGGCGACGACGGGUAGCCGGCCUGAGAGGGUGACCGGCCACACUGGGACUGAGAUACGGCCCGGGCUCCUACGGGAGGCAGCAGUGGGGAAUAUUGCACAAUGGGCGCAAGCCUGAUGCAGUGACGCCGCGUGAGGGAUGACGGCCUUCGGGUUGUAAACCUCUUUCAGCACCGACGAAGCGCAAGUGACGGUAGGUGCAGAGGAAGGACCGGCCAACUACGUGCCAGCAGCCGCCGUAA
Molecule: ribosomal RNA, 477 nt
Filed under: uncultured bacterium
Lineage: Bacteria
Description: partial 16S ribosomal RNA
Rfam family: Bacterial small subunit ribosomal RNA
Source: RNAcentral